Ixodes scapularis (black-legged tick) is the source of this 72-nucleotide non-coding RNA. NCBI's taxonomy places the organism in Eukaryota, Metazoa, Arthropoda, Arachnida, Ixodida, Ixodidae. The record is from Rfam.
CCCGGUGUGGUCUAGUGGCUAGGAUACCUGGCUCUCACCCAGGAGGCCCGGGUACGAUUCCCGGCGUCGGAA